AUUGAACGCUGGCGGCAUGCCUUACACAUGCAAGUCGAACGGUAACGCGGGGCAACCUGGCGACGAGUGGCGAACGGGUGAGUAAAGCAUCGGAACGUGCCCAGUAGUGGGGGAUAGCCCGGCGAAAGCCGGAUUAAUACCGCAUACGACCUAUGGGUGAAAGGGGGGGAUCGCAAGACCUCUCGCUAUUGGAGCGGCCGUUGUCAGAUUAGGGAGUUGGUGGGGUAAAGGCCUACCAAGCCGACGAUCUGUAGCUGGUCUGAGAGGACGACCAGCCACACUGGGACUGAGACACGGCCCAGACUCCUACGGGAGGCAGCAGCGGGGAAUUGUGGACAAUGGGCGCAAGCCUGAUCCAGCCAUGCCGCGUGCGGGAAGAAGGCCUUCGGGUUGUAAACCGCUUUUGUCAGGGAAGAAAUCCUUUGGGUUAAUACCUCGGGGGGAUGACGGUACCUGAAGAAUAAGCACCGGCUAACUACGUGCCAGCCGCCGCGGUAA
This 498-nucleotide ribosomal RNA is filed under the name uncultured bacterium. RNAcentral's name for it is "partial 16S ribosomal RNA". It matches the Rfam family "Bacterial small subunit ribosomal RNA", at positions 29 to 523 of the family's 1533-position model. The record is from RNAcentral.